UGGCCCAUGUGGGGAUUGAACCAAAGACCUUUGCAUUAUUAGCAUGACACUCUAACCAACUGAGUUAAUGGGCC
Molecule: non-coding RNA, 74 nt
Organism: Cordylochernes scorpioides
Lineage: Eukaryota; Metazoa; Arthropoda; Arachnida; Pseudoscorpiones; Chernetidae
Source: the annotation of a GenBank genome assembly